AACGAACGCUGGCGGCGCGCCUAAUACAUGCAAGUCGAGCGAGAAGACGUAGCAAUACGUUUGUAAAGCGGCGAACGGGUGAGGAAUACAUGGGUAACCUACCCUCGAGUGGGGAAUAACUAGCCGAAAGGUUAGCUAAUACCGCGUACGCUCCUUGGACUUCGGUUCAGGGAGGAAAGCGAUACCGUGGGUAUCGCGCUCUUGGAUGGGCUCAUGUCCUAUCAGCUUGUUGGUGAGGAACGGCUCACCAAGGCUUCGACGGGUAGCUGGUCUGAGAGGACGAUCAGCCACACUGGCACUGCGACACGGGCCAGACUCCUACGGGAGGCGGCAGUAAGGAAUAUUGCGCAAUGGGCGAAAGCCUGACGCAGCGACGCCGCGU
This 382-nucleotide ribosomal RNA is filed under the name uncultured bacterium. RNAcentral's name for it is "bacterial SSU rRNA". It matches the Rfam family "Bacterial small subunit ribosomal RNA", at positions 29 to 402 of the family's 1533-position model. The record is from RNAcentral.